This 478-nucleotide unclassified non-coding RNA is filed under the name Blastobotrys terrestris. RNAcentral's name for it is "partial contains ITS1, 5.8S rRNA and ITS2". The stretch from base 149 to 302 matches the Rfam family "5.8S ribosomal RNA". Lineage: Eukaryota; Fungi; Ascomycota; Dipodascomycetes; Dipodascales; Trichomonascaceae. The record is from RNAcentral.
AGCCAUUCUAAUCCUAUUACACCUGUGAAUUUUUCUUUUUUUGAAUAAAAAAAUUAUUUUGCUUUGGUCCUUUAACCGGGGCCAAAGGUUAUACCAAACACCUAUUUUUUUAACCUGAGUCUGAAAUUGAAAAAUUUUAAUAAAUCAAAACUUUCAACAACGGAUCUCUUGGUUCUCGCAUCGAUGAAGAACGCAGCGAAUUGCGAUAAGUAAUGUGAAUUGCAGAAUUUUGUGAAUCAUCGAAUCUUUGAACGCACAUUGCACCCCUUGGUAUUCCGAGGGGUAUACCUGUUUGAGCGUCAUUUCUCUCUUAAACCUUUGGGUUUAGUGUUGAACUGAUUUUUCCUAACGGGGGGAAACAGUUUGAAAUGAAAUGGCAAGGCGAAUUCUCCCUAGCAUUACAGUGUCUUAGGUUUUACCAACUACGCUGGACUUGCAAGAGAAUUUUAUGCCGGGCGGUAUAAAACUUUUUUACAAG